RNAcentral lists this ribosomal RNA (253 nucleotides) under uncultured bacterium. RNAcentral describes it as "partial 16S ribosomal RNA". It matches the Rfam family "Bacterial small subunit ribosomal RNA", at positions 524 to 776 of the family's 1533-position model. The record is from RNAcentral.
UACGAAGGGGGCUAGCGUUGCUCGGAAUCACUGGGCGUAAAGCGCACGUAGGCGGAUUUCUAAGUCAGGGGUGAAAUCCUGGAGCUCAACUCCAGAACUGCCUUUGAUACUGGGAGUCUCGAGUCCGGGAGAGGUGAGUGGAACUGCGAGUGUAGAGGUGAAAUUCGUAGAUAUUCGCAAGAACACCAGUGGCGAAGGCGGCUCACUGGCCCGGUACUGACGCUGAGGUGCGAAAGCGUGGGGAGCAAACAGG